This 1528-nucleotide long non-coding RNA is filed under the name Homo sapiens (human). RNAcentral describes it as "non-protein coding VLDLR-AS1:20". The record is from RNAcentral. Lineage: Eukaryota; Metazoa; Chordata; Mammalia; Primates; Hominidae.
AUUACUGUACCCUCCCGGCAGCCUCCGGCAGAACACGCAGCAGCAGCAGCAGUUAGCGCUGAUGCAACUAUCGUUGCUGUUGCCACCGCCUCCCCACUGACGGGGCGUGCACCUGGGGGGUACUUGCAGUUUCCAGGGGCAACAAGCAUCUCUCUACCACCCUCUCCUGCGCCCCUGAGAGAGGCUGGCUCCAAGCUUGAUAUAGAAGACUAUCAUAUGAACCAGAAAGGGUAACUGAAACCAAAGAAAUGACUCCAGUAUCAAGCUAAAGACAUGCCUUAAAGGAUGAGGAGGAGCAGAAAUCUUACCAGCAAGGCAAGAAAGAAGCCGUACGUGAACAGCCUCUGCUUUAGGCCCAGAAGGAAAAGAAGCUUACAGGAGACAAUCAGUCUUACACUCUUCCAUGGUCACAAACAAGAGGUCCCUGGAUCUACAGUAUCUAGGCCCACAUGCAAUAUGACUUUGCAACUCAUCCCAUCAGAGGAUGGAAACUAUUUCUUCACCCCCUUGAACCUGGGCUGGCUUUGUAAUUUGUUUUGGCCAAUAGAAUGUGGUGGAAGUGAUGGUGUUACCAGAAAGAGUUCCCAAUCCAGACUCGUGCGAGAAAGAAUUUGAGAAAUGAAAGAACCAGAGCAUUAUAGCAGAACGAAUCCUGGAAUGGGAAUGGAAUGCCUGGAUUUGUGGCACAGUUGGGAAGCGUCCUGGCCAUGCCAUGUUAAAGCUGUCUCCAAGGCAGUGAUUCUUACCCUUGGCUACACAUUGGAGUCAUUUGGGAAGCUAGAAAAAAAAAAUGCCCAGGACCUGGGCAAGACGGCUGAAUAAGAACAGCUCUGGUCUGCAGUUCCUAGCAAGAUCAACGCAGAAGGGAAGCUGGCAGCCUGGGCUCUUGGAGAUUGUAUCUGGUGCCGGAGAGGACUGGCUCCCACACUCAGUGAGGGAGGAAUUUUACUGACCCAGCAUCCAGAUGAACUUUGGUGAGGAGAGGAGGACAUAAGAGCCUGGUGGUUGAUGAUGGAAGAGAUGAAACUGUGAAGAGACCGAAGAAGCUAAUCUAUCAAUAGUUAAGAUUCCAUUUCUAAAAGAUCUUACUUUGAGUCUACCUAUGCCUGGGAUGUCAAGAGGUGCUGAGGAUUGAUUGGUGAAGACAGAGAGGGUCUUGGUUCUAACUGAGCUCACAUUCUAAAAGAGAAAAUAGAAAAUAAACACGAAAAACGAAUGGGAUCACUUCAGAAAUUGAAAAGGUCUAUAAGAAAAACAAAACAGGGUGUGUGAUAGAGGGUUGGGGAGGCUGUGACCAUGGAAGGCCUAAGAAAGUGAUAUUUGAAAUGAAACUUGAGUUGCAGAAGGGAGCCAGCUGUGCAAGGCUGAGGACCAAAUAUUUCAGGAGGGAACGGCCAAGGCAGAAAUGAGCAUGGCCUGCUGGAGACCGAGAAUGAACUGUUAGUGGGUUCCCACUGCACAGGGCCUGGGGAGGCUACCCAUGCUCAUCUCAUGGUAAUGUGCCAGCAACUCAGCCUACUGGCAUCAU